This 404-nucleotide long non-coding RNA is filed under the name Brassica rapa (field mustard). RNAcentral describes it as "long non-coding RNA (BRAP_LNC004277)". The record is from RNAcentral. Lineage: Eukaryota; Viridiplantae; Streptophyta; Magnoliopsida; Brassicales; Brassicaceae.
CGAGUAAGUGAUAUAUAUGUCAACGUAGAUAAUGCAUGCUUGCCUCUACAGUCAACAUACAUACAUGAUUUAGAAUAUAAAAUAUUUUUGUGGUGAUUAUAUGGUCGUUAUCAUCGAUAGUUAAUACCUUGAAGAUACGUAUCAAUCUUUUCCACUGUCUAUCUAUUUGUUUGACAUUUUAAUUCUUAACUUUUUUUUUUUUUUUGUAACUUAAAAGGGUUAAACCCGGGUCUAUUAAAGAUACAGACCUAACCCCUGGGUGGAGGUACAGCCCACGGAUAAACCCUCUCCUGGGCAUUCAAAUGAACCAAAAGCAAUAGCCCAUAUCCGUGUGGCCAGCGGAGUUUGAACCAGGGUUCGCCGUAUUGGGUUUAAUCCCUCAAGCGUAUUGGGUUUUAAUUCUU